UGUGAGUUAGCAGUCUAGCGAUUGAAGUCUGUGGUCGAAUAUACCGGCUCCAUUGUAUAAAUUGAUAUAAAUUUAUGACAUUGGUUACGUUCAGAAAACACAAGUUAUCGGAGAACAGUGAUUAUUGGUCCUUACUGUUAGAUUUUUAAAUUUAGACCAAUUAUAUUAGCAAAUUACUAUUGUGCAACGGUUGUGUUUUCCGAACGUAGCAAUUGCAUAUUGCUGUUGACAUUUCUCGUUUUUCUUUUUUUUGUCUAUUGAAAGUUGUUAAAGCGCCAAGUUUAAUUUAAUUUAACAAUGAAAAAUAAUAAUUCAGGCACUAUAAGCUAUUAUGAAAGUUAUUUCUAUUUUUUUGCGUGGUCAAGUGCCAUUAUUUAUUCAAUAUAUCAAUUUUAUUUGGCAAACAAUUAUUUCAGUGACUAUUACGAUGCAUACGGCGAUUUUAAAUCGGGAUGGGUUUGGAUUGGAAAGAAACAAGAUGUUUCUGAUCAAGAAUGGCUCGUAUGGCUUACGUUUGUGAACAGAUUGGUACCUUGGGCUUUUAUACAACAUUUUUUCAGCCAAUUUAUUAAAGUCAAUAGUAACAGUAUGACAUUAUCCUGUUGGUAUAUUCUAUCAUCAAUAAUGUUUCUUUAUUACUACUUGGGUACAUUGUGUUUGUUAUGUAUAAUACUGCAGCCUAUUUUUUUACACAUACUGACAUGUAUCUGCAAUAAAACUACAGCCUGGACUAUACAUAUUUUGUAUCUAUUUGUAAUACAUAUAUUAAAAAUACCGAAUGGUGCUUUUCAAAGUUGGUUGGAAAUCACUGAUGAGAAGCACUAUGUUUUAACACUUAUACUGUGUUGGAUACAUUUAAAAAGCAUCAGUCACAAUAUGGACAGCAUUGACAAUCAAUUUGUCAGUUCAAAUAACUUUAUUCAGAAAUUGGCUUACUGCUUAUAUUUGCCUACAUUGUUUUUAGGACCACUUAUUUUGUAUCAUGAAUUUGUGGAAUCUAUUAAUCGACAACAGCAAUAUUGGAACUGCCAAAAACUUUUGACUUUUAUAUUGAAUUUAGUUAGGUACAUAUUUUGGUUGUACUUCACUGAAUUGUCUCUACAUUUUGUUUAUGUAAACGCUAUACAGUACCAUCCGCAGGUUGUACAAAAUAUGAAUUCUUGGGCAUUAUAUGGUUUAGGAUAUUGCAUGGGACAAUUUUUUUUAAAUAAAUAUGUUAUUAUUUAUGGAACAUGCAGUAGCUUAUGUCACUUAGAUAAUAUAGAUGCCCCAUCGCAACCGAAAUGCAUAGCUAGAAUACAUUUAUAUUCCGACAUGUGGAAGCAUUUUGAUAGAGGAUUAUAUAAAUUUCUUAUAAGUAUGAAGAAAUCUGCGGUUGAGGAUCAUCGAAUGCUCUCAAAUACGUAUGGUGAGGCCGCUAAUAAAAAGAACGUGCUGAGAGUGGUUUCAACGCUUCAAGAACGGUGAUUUACACGUUGACCAGCGGUGGAAGAGAGAAAGGUUUUGAAGAUGCAAAAUUGGAGGCAUUACUUGAUCAAGACUCAUGUCAAACGCAAGAAGAAUUGGCAGGAUCAUUGGGAGUGACUCAACAAGCCAUUUCAAAACGCCUGAAAGUCAUGGGAAUGAUUCAGAAGCAAGGAAAUUGGGUGCCAUACGAGUUGAAGCCGGCGAGAUGUUGAACGGCGUUUGUUUGCUUGUGAACAGCUGCUUGCAAAGCAAAGAUGGAAGGGAUUUCUGCAUCGUAUUGUGACUGGGGACGAAAAAUGGGUUCAUUACGAUAACCCAGAAAAUCAUGAGAACUUCCCGGCCAUGCUUCCACGUCGACGGCCAAACCGAAUAUUUACGGCUCCAAGGCGAUCGGUAUCGAAAGUAUUGAUGCGUUUUAGCCGAGCACUGAAAGACAAACGGCCGCAAUGCAACGAUAGACACAAUAAAGUGAUUUUGCAUCAUGACAGUGCUCGACCCCAUGUCGUAAAGCUUAUUAAAACACUUGGAAACAUUGAAAUGGGAAGUCCUGUCCCAUCCGCCGUAUUCUCCAGACGUUGCUCUCUCUAUCACUUGUUUCGAUCAAUGACACACGGCCUGGCUGACCAGCACUUCCGUUCUUAUGAAGAAGUGAAAAAUUGGAUCAAUUUGUGGAUCGUCUCAAAAGAUGACCAUUUUUUCGACGCGAGAUUCGUAUGCUGCCAGAAAGAUGGGAGAAAGUAGUGGCCAGCGAUGGACAAUACUUUGAAUCGUAAAUGUCUAACCAGUUUUUCACAAUAAAGUCUC
Molecule: unclassified non-coding RNA, 2271 nt
Filed under: Monomorium pharaonis (pharaoh ant)
Lineage: Eukaryota; Metazoa; Arthropoda; Insecta; Hymenoptera; Formicidae
Description: protein-cysteine N-palmitoyltransferase HHAT, transcript variant X1
Source: RNAcentral